GACGAACGCUAGCGGCAGGCCUAAUACAUGCAAGUCAAGGGGAUAGCAAUAUCACCGGCGGACGGGUGCGUAACGCGUACACAACGUGCCCAAGGGCGGAGGAAAGCGGCGGGAAACUGCCGGUAAUACUCCAUGGUGUUGUUGAGUGGCAUCACUUAACAACUAAAGUACAAGCGCCCUUGGAUCGGUGUGCGUUCGAUUAGCUAGUUGGCGGGGUAACGGCCACCAAGGCUUCGAUCGAUAGGGGGUGUGAGAGCAUGACCCCCCCACACGGGUACUGAGACACGGACCCGACUCCUACGGGAGGCAGCAGUAAGGAAUAUUGGACAAUGGGCGGAAGCCUGAUCCAGCCAUGCCGCGUGAAGGACGAAGGCGCUCAGCGUUGUAAACUUCUUUUGGAUGGGAACAAUAACUCCGACUUGUCGGAACUUGAGGGUACCAUCAGAAUAAGNACCGGCUAACUCCGUGCCAG
RNAcentral lists this ribosomal RNA (472 nucleotides) under uncultured bacterium. RNAcentral's name for it is "bacterial SSU rRNA". It matches the Rfam family "Bacterial small subunit ribosomal RNA", at positions 28 to 511 of the family's 1533-position model. The record is from RNAcentral.